RNAcentral lists this transfer RNA (328 nucleotides) under Candidatus Desulforudis audaxviator MP104C. RNAcentral's name for it is "tRNA-Und (NNN) (tRNA-Und-NNN-1-1)". The stretch from base 68 to 266 matches the Rfam family "Group I catalytic intron". From Rfam's summary of the family: Group I catalytic introns are large self-splicing ribozymes. They catalyse their own excision from mRNA, tRNA and rRNA precursors in a wide range of organisms. The core secondary structure consists of 9 paired regions (P1-P9). Lineage: Bacteria; Bacillati; Bacillota; Clostridia; Thermoanaerobacterales; Desulforudaceae. The record is from RNAcentral.
GGGCCCAUAGCUCAACGGUCAGAGCAUCCGGCUCAAGGCAGCGAGUCUAAGUCGGGUUUCCGAUAUGACUUGGCUGUCAAGGGCUGCCUGGAGAGCAAUCUCCAGGUGAAACCUGCCAAAUUCGGGGAAGCCUAAACCGCAAGGCACGGUAAUCCCGAGCCAAGCCUCUCCGGUCGGAACCGGUGAGGAAGGUGUAGAGACUAGACGGCAGGCACCCUCCAACGAGGGUGAAGGGAUAGUCCAGACCACAAACCCGAAAGGGGCAACGAAAGUUGCAGUGGGAAGCAUAACCGGCUGGUUCCAGGUUCGAAUCCUGGUGGGCCCACCA